RNAcentral lists this unclassified non-coding RNA (778 nucleotides) under Aphidius gifuensis. Its description in RNAcentral is "probable serine/threonine-protein kinase kinX, transcript variant X2". Lineage: Eukaryota; Metazoa; Arthropoda; Insecta; Hymenoptera; Braconidae. The record is from RNAcentral.
AGUCUUCUUGGUUUUAUUAUAUAUUUUAGGCUUUAUCCUGUUUUAUGUUUUAUACGUUCCUUACCUUUUUCUCAUGGAUAAUUGUUAAAUACCUGAAAACUCACCGUCUGCCCAUUCUUACUCAACACUGCACUCCGGCACCAUAAUGAACGGUCCCUUAAAUUGACGCUGAAUCGUACUUCACUCUAAAAUCUAAAUUGAGAAAACGUGUACAACAUUCAAAUAGCUAUGAUCUUAUUUUUUAAUAAAAAUGUGGCUUCACUAAAAUAAGUACAUGACUGACAUAAUAUUCAAAACAAUAAUUUUUAAUUAACACUGAUUAUGGAUUUGGAGAAUUGUCGGUCGCAUGAUGAAAAUUCAUCAAGACAUCACGAAGAUCCUUCUGGACAUAAAAAAUGGUAUCGUCAAGCAAGUCAAAGAUACUCUUUUGAAGAGGAUUAUCGACCUACAAAGUUUCAAGAAGAUCUGAAGGGUCGAGGCCCAGACCGACGUUCAGAAUUGGUAGACCUGCUCAUAUAUAAAUUUGAAUUAGAUUUAUCUAUCUGUAUUGUAACGUAAUAAAACAAUUGAAAAAAAAAUUAACAAUAAUAGUUUUGAGUCAACUAAUUUAGGAAUCAUCACGCAAAUAAAUGAACAUAAAUGUAUAGGUCGAAAUAAAGUUACAAACUUGAAAGUUUUGGUAAAUAUUUGGUUUAAAUAAAAUGUGUUAACAAUAAAAAAUAAAUUGUGUAUUAUAAUGAAAAUGUUAUUAAAGUUCACAAUAGUAAAAUUCAGUCAG